Molecule: non-coding RNA, 207 nt
Organism: Notechis scutatus (mainland tiger snake)
Lineage: Eukaryota; Metazoa; Chordata; Lepidosauria; Squamata; Elapidae
Source: RefSeq, a predicted model, not a curated record
AUAGAUAUAGCAGACCAAUCAGACUCUACCUUUGUUUGGGGCACAAGCUGCUAUGCAGUGAACAGUCCAAGAUCCAACCCAAUAAUAGGACAUAGGAGCCAUCUAGCUUCAGGCCUGCGAGCUCCUAGAACUUUGCCUUUCGUUCUGCCAUGGAAGAACUGUAAGUAAUGAUGUUCUCUGCAUAGUAGAUCUUGGAUCGUGUACCAU